This 460-nucleotide ribosomal RNA is filed under the name uncultured bacterium. RNAcentral's name for it is "partial 16S ribosomal RNA". It matches the Rfam family "Bacterial small subunit ribosomal RNA", at positions 338 to 795 of the family's 1533-position model. The record is from RNAcentral.
CCUACGGGUGGCAGCAGUGAGGAAUAUUGGUCAAUGGACGAGAGUCUGAACCAGCCCAGUCGCGUGAAUGAUGAAUGCCCUAUGGGUUGUAAGCUUCUUUUAUAUGGGAAUAAAAUGUUCCACGUGUGUGAUUUUGUCUGUCUAAUAUGAAUAAGGCUCGGCUAACUCAGUGCCAGAAGCCGCGGUAAUCCGGAGGGUCCGAGAGUUAUCCGGAUUUAUUGGGUUUAAGGGGAGUGUAGGUGGGUUGUUAAGUCAGUAGUGAAAGGUUGCGGCUCAACCGUAAAAUUGCAGUUGAAACUGGCAGUCUAGAGUACAGUAGAGGUGAGCGGAAUUCGUGGUGUAGCGGUGAAAUGCGUAGAUAUUACGAAGAACACCGAUGGCGAAGGCAGCUCACUGGACUGCAACUGACACUGAGGCUCGAAAGUGUGGGUAGCAAACAGGAUUAGAUACCCUAGUAGUC